Corapipo altera (White-ruffed manakin) is the source of this 458-nucleotide long non-coding RNA. RefSeq lists it as uncharacterized. NCBI's taxonomy places the organism in Eukaryota, Metazoa, Chordata, Aves, Passeriformes, Pipridae. The record is from RefSeq and is a predicted model, not a curated record. The transcript is spliced from 4 exons.
UGUUACUUUAAGUUCUUGCAUUAUCUUUUUUGAAUAGCAUUGCACUUAAGCUGAUCUAUUUUUCUUUCCUUCAGUAAAGAAGAAAUUGUUAAUGGUGUUUAUUACUGUAUCAGGUGAAUAUGUAUAGUUUUAUGCUGCCUUGACCCAUUUUAUCAUGUGUGAAUAUGACUUUCCGUAGAAACCUGAGCUUGAAAACAAAAGCAUAAAUUCAUCACCCUUGGCCAAAGAGUUCAUAUUCAGAAAGGCAUUUUGGGAGGAAUUAAUCCUUCUCCCUGCCAUUAUGCACUUGGAUCUCAAGCGCAUACCACAUGCUUUCCUGACCUGGGACCUCUGUCAGCACAUAAAUAUGGAGGAAAACAGGCUACACUGGGAAGGAAGUAUGUUUUAACCUGGAAAGGAUGAUGAAGUGCUUCCUUCAUAUUCACAGCAGAACUAAUCCCACUCUGGUCAUGAAUUCU